UACGUAGGGGGCAAGCGUUGUCCGGAUUCAUUGGGCGUAAAGAGCGUGUAGGCGGCAAGGAAGGCCGGUUGGGAAAACUGGAGGCUCAACCUUCAGAGGUCGACCGAAACCAUCUGGCUAGAGUCCGGGAGAGGAGAGUGGAAUUCCUGGUGUAGCGGUGAAAUGCGCAGAUAUCAGGAAGAACACCCGUGGCGAAAGCGGCUCUCUGGAACGGUACUGACGCUGAGACGCGAAAGCGUGGGGAGCGAACAGG
This 253-nucleotide ribosomal RNA is filed under the name uncultured bacterium. Its description in RNAcentral is "partial 16S ribosomal RNA". It matches the Rfam family "Bacterial small subunit ribosomal RNA", at positions 524 to 776 of the family's 1533-position model. The record is from RNAcentral.